RNAcentral lists this unclassified non-coding RNA (543 nucleotides) under Didymella keratinophila. RNAcentral's name for it is "sequence contains ITS1, 5.8S rRNA gene, ITS2". The stretch from base 181 to 334 matches the Rfam family "5.8S ribosomal RNA". The record is from RNAcentral. Lineage: Eukaryota; Fungi; Ascomycota; Dothideomycetes; Pleosporales; Didymellaceae.
GUAACAAGGUUUCCGUAGGUGAACCUGCGGAAGGAUCAUUACCUAGAGUUGUAGGCUUUGCCUGCUAUCUCUUACCCAUGUCUUUUGAGUACCUUCGUUUCCUCGGCGGGUUCGCCCGCCGAUUGGACAAUUUAAACCAUUUGCAGUUGCAAUCAGCGUCUGAAAAAACUUAAUAGUUACAACUUUCAACAACGGAUCUCUUGGUUCUGGCAUCGAUGAAGAACGCAGCGAAAUGCGAUAAGUAGUGUGAAUUGCAGAAUUCAGUGAAUCAUCGAAUCUUUGAACGCACAUUGCGCCCCUUGGUAUUCCAUGGGGCAUGCCUGUUCGAGCGUCAUUUGUACCUUCAAGCUCUGCUUGGUGUUGGGUGUUUGUCUCGCCUCUGCGCGUAGACUCGCCUCAAAACAAUUGGCAGCCGGCGUAUUGAUUUCGGAGCGCAGUACAUCUCGCGCUUUGCACUCAUAACGACGACGUCCAAAAGUACAUUUUUACACUCUUGACCUCGGAUCAGGUAGGGAUACCCGCUGAACUUAAGCAUAUCAAUAA